This 254-nucleotide ribosomal RNA is filed under the name uncultured bacterium. RNAcentral describes it as "partial 16S ribosomal RNA". It matches the Rfam family "Bacterial small subunit ribosomal RNA", at positions 524 to 776 of the family's 1533-position model. The record is from RNAcentral.
UACGGGGGGAGCAAGCGUUGUUCGGAGUUACUGGGCGUAAAGGGUGUGUAGGCGGUUCUCUAAGUCUGGUGUGAAAUCUCCCGGCUCAACUGGGAGGGUGCGCCGGAAACUGGAGGGCUUGGAGUGUGGGAUGGGAGAGUGGAAUUCCGGGUGUAGCGGUGGAAUGCGUAGAGAUCCGGAAGAACACCGGUGGCGAAGGCGGCCUGCUGGGCAGUUGCUGACACUGAGGCGCGACAGCGUGGGGAGCAAACAGG